CUACCGGGGUUUCUAAUCCUGUUUGCUCCCCACGCUUUCGCGCCUCAGCGUCAGUAAUGAGCCAGGUUGCCGCCUUCGCCACCGGUGUUCUUCCCAAUAUCUACGAAUUUCACCUCUACACUGGGAAUUCCACAACCCUCUCUCACACUCUAGUCGUCACGUCUCAAAUGCAGCCCCAAGGUUAAGCCCUGGAAUUUCACAUCUGACUGUAACAACCGCCUACACGCCCUUUACGCCCAGUCAUUCCGAGCAACGCUAGCCCCCUUCGUAUUACCGCGGCUGCUGGCAC
Molecule: ribosomal RNA, 289 nt
Filed under: uncultured Acetobacteraceae bacterium
Lineage: Bacteria; Pseudomonadati; Pseudomonadota; Alphaproteobacteria; Acetobacterales; Acetobacteraceae
Description: partial 16S ribosomal RNA
Source: RNAcentral